AAAGAUGGGGUAGAACUUGCCGCAGCCGAAGUUGUUCCGAACAAAGAUGGGGUAGAAUUUGCCGCAGACGAAGUUGUGCUAAACAGGGGUAAGGGAGAACUCGCCACAGACGAAGUUGUACCAAACGGAGGCGAAGAACUUGCUACAGACGAAGUAGAAGCAGAACUUGCUACUGAUGAAGUUGUUCCAAAUAUGGGAGACGAGGUUGCUCCAAACAAUGGUAAAGACGUAGUUCCCCCAAACAAGGACGAGCCGGCACUUGAGGCCGCCGUUGACACUGCACCAAACAGAGGCGAGGCAGAACUAGCCGCAGAAGAAACAGUCCCAAACAAGGGUGAAGGAGAAGUAGUAGAGGAUGAAACAGCCCCAAAAUUGUUUGAACCAGAAAUUGCAGAGGAAUCAGCUUGCCCAAACGGCGAUGAGGUGGAACCAGACGCAGAGCCAAAUAGGGAUGGGACGGAACUGGUGGCAGCAGGAGAUGAACCAAAGGAGAACAAUAAAGAGGCAGAAGAAGCGGAGGAGGAUGAAGAGGUAGAGAGUCCGAAACCAAAUGAAGAAACGGGAGGAGCUGAGCUAGGGUUAGAGCUUGACGAGGUGUUGAAUGCAAACGAUAAUGAGGUGGAAGAGGAAGAAGAGGAUGAGGAGCUAGGGUUUGCAGAAGAGGAUGGGGAAGGGGAAGAUCCGAAAUGGAAUCUGGCACCAGUGGUUGCAGAUCCAAAUGAAGAAGCGGAGGAUUCCAAUGAGAAGGGAGAUGAAGAGGAUGAGGAAGAGAAGCCAGACAUCGUGGCGCUCUCCUCCCCUUUCUCUUUCAGCGGGAUUUCUGAGGUUCACUGUUUUGAAAAGAGGAUUUUUGGAGGGUUUGGCUGUUGAAAGGGUAAACCCUAUUCGAUUGAUGUAGGAC
This 901-nucleotide unclassified non-coding RNA is filed under the name Hevea brasiliensis (rubber tree). Lineage: Eukaryota; Viridiplantae; Streptophyta; Magnoliopsida; Malpighiales; Euphorbiaceae. The record is from RNAcentral.